GCUGCCGGGGGACAUCUGUCCCCGGGUCCGCGCUCGCCGAAGACACCUUAGAACUCUGUCUGAAGAUUGUAGUCUGAGAUUAAAUAUAAAUUAUUUAAAACUUUCAACAACGGAUCUCUUGGUUCCGGCAUCGAUGAAGAACGCAGCGAAAUGCGAUACGUAAUGUGAAUUGCAGAAUUCAGUGAAUCAUCGAGUCUUUGAACGCACAUUGCGCCCUCUGGUAUUCCGGAGGGCAUGCCUGUCCGAGCGUCAUUGCUGCCCUCAAGCACGGCUUGUGUGUUGGGCUCCGUCCUCCUUCCGGGGGACGGGCCCGAAAGGCAGCGGCGGCACCGCGUCCGGUCCUCAAGCGUAUGGGGCUUUGUCACCCGCUUUGUAGGACUGGCCGGCGCCUGCCGAUCAACCAAACUUUUUCCAGGUGACCUCGGAUCA
Molecule: ribosomal RNA, 429 nt
Filed under: Penicillium chrysogenum
Lineage: Eukaryota; Fungi; Ascomycota; Eurotiomycetes; Eurotiales; Aspergillaceae
Description: eukaryotic LSU rRNA
Rfam family: 5.8S ribosomal RNA (bases 99-252)
Source: RNAcentral